Molecule: ribosomal RNA, 253 nt
Filed under: uncultured bacterium
Lineage: Bacteria
Description: partial 16S ribosomal RNA
Rfam family: Bacterial small subunit ribosomal RNA
Source: RNAcentral
UACGGAGGGUGCAAGCGUUGCUCGGAAUUAUUGGGCGUAAAGGGCAGGUAGGUGGUCUCACUUGUCUGGGGUGAAAUCCUUGAGCUUAACUCAAGAAGUGCCUCGGAAACGGUGGGACUAGAGUACUGGAGAGGGUCGUGGAAUUCCCGGUGUAGCGGUGAAAUGCGUAGAGAUCGGGAGGAACACCAGCGGCGAAGGCGGCGACCUGGACAGUAACUGACACUCAACUGCGAAAGCGUGGGGAGCAAACAGG